RNAcentral lists this ribosomal RNA (253 nucleotides) under uncultured bacterium. RNAcentral describes it as "partial 16S ribosomal RNA". It matches the Rfam family "Bacterial small subunit ribosomal RNA", at positions 524 to 776 of the family's 1533-position model. The record is from RNAcentral.
UACAGAGGGUGCGAGCGUUGUUCGGAAUCAUUGGGCGUAAAGCGCACGUAGGCGGCCGCGUAAGUCGGAUGUGAAAGCCCACGGCUCAACCGUGGAAGUGCAUUCGAGACUGCGCAGCUUGAGUUUCGGAGAGGGUGGUGGAAUUCCCAGUGUAGAGGUGAAAUUCGUAGAUAUUGGGAGGAACACCGGUGGCGAAGGCGACCACCUGGACGAUGACUGACGCUGAGGUGCGAGAGCGUGGGUAGCAAACAGG